AAGACCUUGCGCUUUUGGAGCGGCCGAUGCCUGAUUAGCUAGUUGGUGGGGUAAUGGCCUACCAAAGCUUCGAUCAGUAGCUGGUCUGAGAGGGCGGCCAGCCACACUGGGACUGAGACACGGCCCAGACUCCUACGGGAGGCAGCAGUGGGGAAUUUUGGACAAUGGGCGCAAGCCUGAUCCAGCCAUGCCGCGUGAGUGAAGAAGGCCUUCGGGUUGUAAAGCUCUUUCAGCCGGGAAGAAAAGGUUGCGAUUAAUAAUCGCAAUUUAUGACGGUACCGGAAGAAGAAGCACCGGCUAACUACGUGCCAGCAGCCGCGGUAAUACGUAGGGUGCGAGCGUUAAUCGGAAUUACUGGGCGUAAAGGGUGCGCAGGCGGUUUUGUAAGUCAGAUGUGAAAGCCCCGGGCUCAACCUGGGAACU
RNAcentral lists this ribosomal RNA (423 nucleotides) under uncultured bacterium. RNAcentral's name for it is "bacterial SSU rRNA". It matches the Rfam family "Bacterial small subunit ribosomal RNA", at positions 207 to 622 of the family's 1533-position model. The record is from RNAcentral.